UUCUUUGUUUCUAGGGAAGUUGGAUAAGAAACAAAAGUAUCAUUUCUGAUCAAAACAAGAGUAGUUUUGGCUCAUGGUGGAAGAUGCAUGGGAAACUAGGAUUGCCAGAUGCAGACGGAACUUAACAUUAAAGACAUUCCUGAAAGAACUAUUAUAGGAACUAAUGCUAUUUGGGAAAAAAAGAAAGGAACUAAGGAAUUGCAAGAAGGGAUGGUGAAUGAAGAAAUUGUUUAAGAUGCCUGGUCUGUAUGGAAUUGCAUCAAUGGAUUUCUUCGUUCUCUGGCUUCUAGUUGGUUUUGUCCAUUGAAAAGCCACAGCAGGGGACUGGAGGAGAGGAGAACAACAAAGGUCGGGCGUCUAUUACCCAGUCACCCUUCUGGGUUUAUAGCAUCUCUCCUCUGCUAUCCUUUGUACCUGUUGCGCCCAGCCCGAGGUUUCCAUGGCCUGCCUUCUGGUCCUACACCCACCUUUGUAAA
Molecule: long non-coding RNA, 476 nt
Organism: Suricata suricatta (meerkat)
Lineage: Eukaryota; Metazoa; Chordata; Mammalia; Carnivora; Herpestidae
Exons: 3
Source: RefSeq, a predicted model, not a curated record